GAAAGAAUCAAGUAGAUGUUGGAGAAAUUAAAAGAGGGAUGUGUCCUCUUCUUCGUUAUCGACAGUGGUGCCUUGUAAAUUCAGCUGCAAAUUGUAAAACUUAGGCCAAAAUUUUCCUUCAAACACAAUAGCGUUUCUGUCCAACCACAGUCCCCAAAGUAGAUAGUUUACCCGAGCAAGGUUAUCUUUAAACUCGGAUUUCUUCAUCAAUGUCUCCACAAGCUCAAUCCACCAUUACUAAGGUUUGAGUUGAGUGUUUCUGGGGAGUGAGCUUGCAAUGGGGAAGAGUUUUACAUGCCUUACAUUUCUGGACAGUACACUAGCACAUGAAGUAUCGUCUCUGUGUCCGAGGAACAACGGGAGCACACUUCAUCUAGGGAAGUACUCUAUUGAUGGGUGAAAGAAGUGCCAGGCUAUAGAGUAGCUUGAAUUUACUGUGAAAUGGCUAGAGUUAUGGUGAAUCCAGGCUCAUCCAGUAGUUGUCUCACGCAGAGAAGAUUCUGAGCUCAGUCAUCAGUUCGGGGCAGUCGAAAUGCUGCAACAAUGCCAAACCACAGAUCAUCCCAAAACUUCACCAAUCCUCUUUUCUUCACUAUCUAUCUCACUCCUUUCUCCAAGACCUUCUUCCCUUCUAGAAGACUUCACUACGCUCAUGAAAGGCAAACUCCAGUUUUAGCAUCCAGGAAUAAGGUAAUUUCUGGCUGAAAUUGAGGGACCUGAGCAAAAUCUGAUUCAGAGGCUGAAAAAGGACUGCAUAUGCUGUUGGAGUCUGACCUUUCUGCACUCGAAUUGGAUUUUCUGGAGCUAUAGAAGCCCAAUUGGCACGCUCUCAAUUGCGUUAGAAAGUAGACAUCCUGGGCUUUUCAGCAAUGUAUAAUAGUUCAUACUUUGCUCGAGAUUUGAUGGCCCAAACCGGCAUUGCAAAUAAGCUUUAGAAUUCCCGGCGUUUAACGCCGGAACUGGCACAAAAGUUGGAGUUAAACGCCCAAACUGGCACAAAAGCUGACGUUUAACUCCAGAAAAAGUCUCUACACAUGAAAGCUUCAAUGCUCAGCCCAAGCACACACCAAGUGGACCCCAAAAGUGGAUUUUUACGUCAUUUACUUAUUUCUGUAUAUCCUAGGUUACUAGUCACUAUAAAUAGGAUCUUUUGACAUUGUAUCUGGACCUCAUGACACUUUACACGUUUCAUAUUGUACCUUCUACGGCAUGAGUCUCUAAACCCCAUGGUUGGGGGUGAGGAGCUCUGCUGUGUCUUGAUGGAUUAAUGCAAUUACUACUGUUUUUCAUUCAAACACGCUUGUUUCCAUUCUAAGAUAUCACUUGCUCCUCAACUUGAUGAAUGUGAUGAUCCGUGACACUCAUCAUCAUUCUCACCUAUGAACGUGUGCCUGACAACCACCUCCGUUUUACUUUAGAUUGAGUGGAUAUCUCUUGGAUUCUUUAGCCAGAAUCUUCGUGGUAUAAGCUAGACUAUAUUGGCGGCCAUUCUUGAGGAUCUGGAAUGUCUAAACCUUGUCUGUGGUAUUCUGAGUAGGAUUCAGGGAUUGAAUGACUGUGACGAGCUUCAAACUCGCGAUUGUGGGGCGUUAGUGACAGACGCAAAAGAAUCAAUGGAUUCUAUUCCGACAUGAUCGAGAAUCGACAGAUGAAUAGCCGUGCUGUGACAGAGCGCGUUGAACAUUUUCACUGAGAGGA
Long non-coding RNA from Arachis stenosperma, 1698 nucleotides. RefSeq lists it as uncharacterized. The transcript is spliced from 4 exons. NCBI's taxonomy places the organism in Eukaryota, Viridiplantae, Streptophyta, Magnoliopsida, Fabales, Fabaceae. The record is from RefSeq and is a predicted model, not a curated record.